This 684-nucleotide ribosomal RNA is filed under the name Bacillus velezensis. RNAcentral's name for it is "bacterial SSU rRNA". It matches the Rfam family "Bacterial small subunit ribosomal RNA", at positions 50 to 705 of the family's 1533-position model. Lineage: Bacteria; Bacillati; Bacillota; Bacilli; Caryophanales; Bacillaceae. The record is from RNAcentral.
UACACAUGCAGUCGAGCGGACACGAUGUGUGAGCCUUGUAGCUCCUCUCUGGAUGUUAGCUGGCGGACGUGGUGAGUAACAAGUGGGUAACCUGCCUGUAAAACUGGGAUAACUCCGGGAAACCGGGGCUAAUACCGGAUGGUUGUUUGAACCGAUGGGUUCAAACCUAAAAGGUGGAUUCUGCUACCUCUUACAGAUGGACCCGCCGCGCUGUAACUAGUUGGUUAGGUAAGUGAUGACCAACGAAAGCAUGCAUACCCAACCUGACAGGGUGAACGACCACACUGGGACUGACACACAGCCCAUACUCCUUCCGGAGGCAGCAAUAAGGAAUCUUCCGCGAUGGACGAAAGUCUGACUGAUCCACCCCUCCUGAGUGAUGAAGGUUUUCCGAUCGGUUAGCUCUGUUGUUAGGGAAUAACGAAUGCCGUUCAAAUAAGGCGGUACCUUGACGGUACCUAACCAGAAAGCCACGGCUAACUACUUGCCACCAGCCGCGGUAAUACGUAGGUGGCAACCGUUGUCCGGAAUUAUUGGGCGUCAAGGGCUCGCAGGCGGUUUCUUAAGUCUGAUGUGAAAGCCGCCGGCUGACCGGGGAGGAUCAUUGGAAACUGCUGAACUUCAAUGCCCAAGAGGAGAGUGGAAUUCCUCUUGUAGCGGUGAAAUGCGUAGAGACCUGCAGGA